GGGAAAGCAAGAGAAAUUGAUACCUGUCCCCCUGCUCGAUGGUGAACUCCAGGAAGGAGAAGGUCAUUGCCUCACUGUUGCUGAUGUCUGUGUCCACGGAGCACUUCCAGUGGGAAUGGCCCAAGAAAGGGGCAGGAAGCUCCUUGGUCAUUGAGGGCCACUCUUUCCUCCACACCUCCAACCAGAGGGGCC
Molecule: long non-coding RNA, 192 nt
Organism: Rhinolophus ferrumequinum (greater horseshoe bat)
Lineage: Eukaryota; Metazoa; Chordata; Mammalia; Chiroptera; Rhinolophidae
Exons: 3
Source: RefSeq, a predicted model, not a curated record